GCUUGUCUCAAAGAUUAAGCCAUGCAUGUCUAAGUAUAACUCUUUUACUUUGAAAACUGCGAACGGCUCAUUAUAUCAGUUAUAGUUUCUUUGAUAGUCCCUUACUACUUGGAUACCCGUAGUAAUUCUAGAGCUAAUACAUGCGCAAAAGACCCGACUGUUUGGGAGGGUUGUAUUUAUUAGAUAAAAAACCAAUCGGCUUCGGCUGUCUGAGGUGAAUCAUAAUAACUUUGCGAAUCGCAUGGCCUUGUGCCGGCGAUGAAUCAUUCAAAUUUCUGCCCUAUCAACUUUCGAUGGUAAGGUAUUGGCUUACCAUGGUUGCAACGGGUAACGGAGAAUUAGGGUUCGAUUCCGGAGAGGGCGCCUGAGAAAUGGCGACCACAUCCAAGGAAGGCAGCAGG
RNAcentral lists this ribosomal RNA (401 nucleotides) under uncultured Choanoflagellida. RNAcentral's name for it is "partial small subunit ribosomal RNA". It matches the Rfam family "Eukaryotic small subunit ribosomal RNA", at positions 30 to 432 of the family's 1831-position model. Lineage: Eukaryota; Choanoflagellata. The record is from RNAcentral.